This 78-nucleotide long non-coding RNA is filed under the name Sarcophilus harrisii (Tasmanian devil). Its description in RNAcentral is "lncRNA (ENSSHAG00000025200.1)". Lineage: Eukaryota; Metazoa; Chordata; Mammalia; Dasyuromorphia; Dasyuridae. The record is from RNAcentral.
UGAACUGAAGAUUAUUCACUGAUAGAUUACCUAAUUCUUGCAAUACUUGGUGCUUUUAUAAAUAGACCCAGAGAGAUC